RNA transcript from Carassius carassius (crucian carp), 1413 nucleotides. It is a transcript of the gene named lysosomal-associated transmembrane protein 4B-like, with no coding region annotated. The record is from RefSeq and is a predicted model, not a curated record. The transcript is spliced from 9 exons. Lineage: Eukaryota; Metazoa; Chordata; Actinopteri; Cypriniformes; Cyprinidae.
GCGGAGAUGAGCCAGAUUAAUGCAGCGGUCGGGAACGAACGGGACGGUAACGGGAAAACGGAAACAACUCAGGAUUUAACGGCGACCGAAUGCUGCGACGAUGAUUUCUCCGUUGGACAGAUGGUACACGACCAGCUGCUGCCUGUGCUGUCAUGUACGGACGGGCACCAUUAUCCUGGGCAUCUGGUAUAUGCUGAUCAAUGCAGUGGUUUUAUUGAUCCUGUUGUCGGCUCUCAAUGACCCAGUCCAGUACCACUACCACCUCACCAGCUCCGAACUCGGCACGGAUCUGGAUGUCAUGGACGAUGCAAACAUGUGUAUCGCUGCUGCAAUCUCAUUGCUGAUGAUUUUGAUUUGUGGAAUGGCGACCUAUGGUGCAUAUAAGCAACAUGCUGCAUGGAUCAUUCCUUUCUUCUGCUACCAAAUCUUUGACUUUGCUCUUAACACACUGGUAGCGAUAAGUGUUGUAGUCUACCCCAACACUAUACAGGACUAUCUUCAGCAGCUGCCUGGGACCUUUCCAUACAAAGAGGACUUGAUGUCCACAAACAACAUGUGCCUAGUAUUAGCAGUGCUUCUCUUUGUUGGAUGCAUCUUAGCCUUUAAGGCAUACCUUAUUGCCUGUGUGUGGAACUGCUACAGAUACGUCAGUGGAAGAAGCACUACAGAGGUCCUGGUUUAUGUCACCACAAAUGACACUACAGUACUACUUCCACCCUACGAGGAGGCCGUCGCCAUUCCGCCGAAGGAUCCCCCUCCCCAGUACGUUUCAGCUUGAGAAUCACACCCUUCUCUAACUACGCUCCUCCCAAACCUCCUCCAAAGAAACACUCUCCGUCACAGUAGCCCAUUCUGUUGCCCCGGUCUCCUGUUUGUCGCUGUGUGACGUAAGCCUCCUCUCUGGAGGCAGCAGUAUGACUUUGAGACGCCCUUCCCUCGACGAGGAUGCCCAGCUGUCCUGGCAACCCAACGCUGUGUGUCAGCUCCAAUCCGAUUUGCACUUUCGGCGAUUAUGUGGGGCACUGGCCUUUUUAAUACUGUGAAUUUCUCAGUAGUGUUAUUGUCUACUGAUAUACCUGAGAAUUGAAUGCGGCGUAUAUGAUGAACACGGGAGUUACGCAAGAGCACUUUUUUUAAAUAAAUGGGAAUUACCUAGAAAUGUACUGAAUAUAAGAAGCCGGCAUUUUCACUUUAAUUCCGUUGUACUGUGCGAAAUAAAAAUGACACGUUUUUAUUCCGAAAAUAACUAAAUUAGUUGAAUCCAUGCGAUUAGGAAUACAGUUGCCCCAUUAAAAGAUUUAAAAACAUUAAGUUUGGCACACAAAUAUGCCACGAACAAAAGCUGCACGGUUUGAAAGUGAUUUCAGUGUUAACUGUGCUUUAUACUUCACUACACUAUUAACAAAACACAAU